RNAcentral lists this ribosomal RNA (233 nucleotides) under uncultured Spirochaeta sp. RNAcentral's name for it is "partial 16S ribosomal RNA". It matches the Rfam family "Bacterial small subunit ribosomal RNA", at positions 1150 to 1382 of the family's 1533-position model. Lineage: Bacteria; Pseudomonadati; Spirochaetota; Spirochaetia; Spirochaetales; Spirochaetaceae. The record is from RNAcentral.
CGCCGGUGACAAACCGGAGGAAGGUGGGGACGACGUCAAGUCAUCAUGGCCCUUAUGUCCUGGGCUACACACGUGCUACAAUGGCCGGUACAGAGCGCAGCGAGGCCGCGAGGCGGAGCGAAUCGCUUAAAGCCGGUCCCAGUACGGAUUGGAGUCUGCAACCCGACUCCAUGAAGUUGGAAUCGCUAGUAAUCGCGCAUCAGCAUGGCGCGGUGAAUACGUUCCCGGGCCUU